Molecule: ribosomal RNA, 386 nt
Filed under: uncultured Oceanospirillales bacterium
Lineage: Bacteria; Pseudomonadati; Pseudomonadota; Gammaproteobacteria; Oceanospirillales
Description: bacterial SSU rRNA
Rfam family: Bacterial small subunit ribosomal RNA
Source: RNAcentral
AUUGAACGCUGGCGGCAUGCCUAACACAGCAAGUCGAACGGUAACAGGCCUUCGGGCGCUGACGAGUGGCGGACGGGUGAGUAAUGCAUAGGAAUUUGCCUUGAAGUGGGGGAUAGCCCGGAGAAAUCCGGAUUAAUACCGCAUAUGCUCUACGGAGCAAAGUGGGCCUCUGAUUUAAACUCACGCUUUGAGAUAANCCUAUGUCGGAUUAGCUAGUUGGUAGGGUAAAGGCCUACCAAGGCGACGAUCCGUAGCUGGUUUGAGAGGAUGAUCAGCCACACUGGGACUGAGACACGGCCCAGACUCCUACGGGAGGCAGCAGUGGGGAAUAUUGGACAAUGGGCGCAAGCCUGAUCCAGCAAUGCCGCGUGUGUGAAGAAGGCCUG